Molecule: ribosomal RNA, 428 nt
Filed under: uncultured bacterium
Lineage: Bacteria
Description: partial 16S ribosomal RNA
Rfam family: Bacterial small subunit ribosomal RNA
Source: RNAcentral
GUGGGGAAUAUUGGUCAAUGGGGGAAACCCUGAACCAGCAACGCCGCGUGAAGGAAGAAGGCUUUCGGGUUGUAAACUUCUUUGACAGGGGACGAAAGCAAUGACGGUACCCUGAAAACAAGCCACGGCUAACUACGUGCCAGCAGCCGCGGUAAUACGUAGGUGGCGAGCGUUGUCCGGAUUUACUGGGUGUAAAGGGCGUGUAGGCGGGGCGGUAAGUCAGAUGUGAAAUGUAGGGGCUCAACCCCUGAAUUGCAUUUGAAACUAUCGUUCUUGAGUGAUGGAGAUGCAGGCGGAAUUCCGUGUGUAGCGGUGAAAUGCGUAGAUAUACGGAGGAACACCAGUGGCGAAGGCGGCCUGCUGGACAUUAACUGACGCUGAGGCGCGAAAGCGUGGGGAGCAAACAGGAUUAGAUACCCCUGUAGUCC